CCGGCACGGGUGAGUAACACGUAUCCAACCUGCCGUCUACUCUUGGACAGCCUUCUGAAAGGAAGAUUAAUACAAGAUAGCAUCAUGAGUUCACAUGUUCACAUGAUUAAAGGUAUUCCGGUAGACGAUGGGGAUGCGUUCCAUUAGAUAGUAGGCGGGGUAACGGCCCACCUAGUCUUCGAUGGAUAGGGGUUCUGAGAGGAAGGUCCCCCACAUUGGAACUGAGACACGGUCCAA
Molecule: ribosomal RNA, 237 nt
Filed under: uncultured bacterium
Lineage: Bacteria
Description: partial 16S ribosomal RNA
Rfam family: Bacterial small subunit ribosomal RNA
Source: RNAcentral